This 211-nucleotide long non-coding RNA is filed under the name Setaria italica (foxtail millet). RNAcentral's name for it is "long non-coding RNA (SITA_LNC002904)". The record is from RNAcentral. Lineage: Eukaryota; Viridiplantae; Streptophyta; Magnoliopsida; Poales; Poaceae.
UUCGGUUGACCGAUUUCUAGCGCCAACAGUUAGUUUGACUUUGAACUUGUUUUUGUGAUGGCCGCAUAGGCCUUUUCUAUGAAAUUGUUUUGAAAAGAGUUUUUUUAUCCUCUUUCUUGUUUUUUGGGUUUGGAAAGUUUAGGGUGCGGGUCGGGCGCGUCACUAAGCAUUGAUGAGCGAAGGCACCGUAGCCGCUGGGGCAUAGGUUUUG